UAACCAGGGAAUGUGAAAGAAGGGGACAAUUUUUAAAAUUAAUUUGUUCUUCUAGCACCUUUUGGGGUUCAUGCCUUCAAGUAUUUUAAAUCUCAUCCUUGCAGAAGUGAUUGAGUACCUGGAACCAGGGUGUGAAAAAUGUAAGUCAUAGACUAUGUUGGCAGGCCUGAACAUGGGAAGAUAGAAAAUUGACCGCCAUCUACAUACGACAUAAUUUUCUGCUUCAGCCUGAGAUCCCAAGAACCACUCCCCUUCCUAUGCCAUGUAGUAAAACUCACAUCACCUCUUUUAGUUCAUUUAAAAGGCCUUCCUGUCUGCAUAAAGAUGAUUUAGUGUGUAGCAAAUCCUGAGAUUGUUUUAAAGCACUGUUUAAAGUUCAAACUCAACAGCUGGAUUUUUUUUCCCUCUGCUUUGAAGAGAGUCACUAUAGUUGGAACAACUUAUUCACGCUAGCUCUUUGAAACACCUGUGUUCCAGGUGAAGCCAAAAAAAAAAAAAAAAAAA
Molecule: long non-coding RNA, 504 nt
Filed under: Homo sapiens (human)
Lineage: Eukaryota; Metazoa; Chordata; Mammalia; Primates; Hominidae
Description: HSALNT0389173
Source: RNAcentral